This 107-nucleotide small nuclear RNA is filed under the name Myotis brandtii (Brandt's bat). Lineage: Eukaryota; Metazoa; Chordata; Mammalia; Chiroptera; Vespertilionidae. The record is from RNAcentral.
GUGCUUGCUUCGGCAGCACAUAUACUAAAAUUGGAACGAUACAGAGAAGAUUAGCACAGCCCCUGCGCAAGGAUGACACGCAAAUUCGUGAAGCGUUCCGUAUUUAA